CCUACGGGUGGCAGCAGUGAGGAAUAUUGGUCAAUGGGCGCGAGCCUGAACCAGCCAAGUCGCGUGAGGGAAGACGGUCCUAUGGAUUGUAAACCUCUUUUGUCGGGGAGCAAAAGACGCCACGCGUGGCGUUCCGCGCGUACCCGAAGAAAAAGCAUCGGCUAACUCCGGGCCAGCAGCCGCGGUAAUACGGAGGAUGCGAGCGUUAUCCGGAUGUAUUGGGUUAAAGGGGGGCGAAGGCGGAAGAUCAAGUCAGCGGUAAAAUUGAGGGGCUCAACCUCUUAGAGCCGUUGAAACUGUUUUUCUUGAGUGAGUGAGAAGUAUGCGGAAUGCGUGGUGUAGCGGUGAAAUGCAUAGAUAUCACGCAGAACUCCGAUUGCGAAGGCAGCAUACCGGCGCUCAACUGACGCUCAUGCACGAAAGUGUGGGUAUCGAACAGGAUUAGAUACCCGGGUAGUC
This 459-nucleotide ribosomal RNA is filed under the name uncultured bacterium. RNAcentral's name for it is "partial 16S ribosomal RNA". It matches the Rfam family "Bacterial small subunit ribosomal RNA", at positions 338 to 795 of the family's 1533-position model. The record is from RNAcentral.